AUUUAAAUAGCUUAAAUAGAGCAUAACAUUGAAGAUGUUAAGGUAGUUUUAAAACUUUUAAAUAC
This 65-nucleotide transfer RNA is filed under the name Byrrhus sp. MJTNT-2012. Its description in RNAcentral is "tRNA-Phe". It matches the Rfam family "tRNA". Rfam says of the family: Transfer RNA (tRNA) molecules are approximately 80 nucleotides in length. Lineage: Eukaryota; Metazoa; Arthropoda; Insecta; Coleoptera; Byrrhidae. The record is from RNAcentral.